AAAGGGAGACCUAAUUCGGGUAGGAGACGAAAAAAAAGUAGUCGCUACCAAGAAUCAAUCCCAAAAGGUCGGAGCGAGGCGAAAUUGGCUUUCAAACUAGGUUCUGGGUUCACACAAGACCUGAAUCAGGAACAAGGGCUAUUAGCUCAGGUGGUUAGAGCGCACCCCUGAUAAGGGUGAGGUCCCUGGUUCGAGUCCAGGAUGGCCCACCUGCACAGGUGGCAAAAACAAGAGAAGCGAGGAAUCAGCACCUUAUCUUAUCUAUAUAUAUAUAGGAGAGAAUGCUGGCUCUGAGUAAAGAGUCCAGAGGAACCUUGAAAACUGCAUAGAGCUAGGUGAAAAAGCCAAAAAAGAAGACCGCAAG
Molecule: transfer RNA, 364 nt
Filed under: uncultured Microcystis sp.
Lineage: Bacteria; Bacillati; Cyanobacteriota; Cyanophyceae; Chroococcales; Microcystaceae
Description: partial 16S-23S ribosomal RNA intergenic spacer
Rfam family: tRNA (bases 136-209)
Source: RNAcentral